This is a small nucleolar RNA of Quercus robur (English oak), 85 nucleotides long. RefSeq annotates it as small nucleolar RNA R38. The transcript has a single exon. Lineage: Eukaryota; Viridiplantae; Streptophyta; Magnoliopsida; Fagales; Fagaceae. The record is from RefSeq and is a predicted model, not a curated record.
CAUUGUGGAUGACGAAUACUUAUGAAAUAAACAGUUAUCCCUGUCUGAUAUUUGGUGCUGAUAUUUCUUAAAUUCUGACCUUACA